GGCUGCUAGCUUGCUCCCUUUUGAGCUUUGUGAUUAUGUGAUUAUGCUAUAAUGGUGAAAUUCUUGGGAGAAACAACCCCUCCUUGGCUGUUUCUCAAGCCUCGAUAAGGGGGUUCCAUUCCUCCAUCCUCUUUGGCUUGUGGUCUAGGGCUGCCUCUAUUGGAGCUACAUGGAGGGAGAAUCGAGAGGGAAGAGGAAGGAGAAAGGGGAAAGGGGUCCCUUCUUGUAGCUACUUGGUUCCCAUACUAAAUUAGCCAACUCCUAGUCUUGCUUAUUAGAGUUGGUAGGAUGGAAAGUGUCAUGAGUGUUGUCUCUUUCACUUAUGAAACUAUGUACUAAUAGCAUCUCCAUUAUCUAUGAAAUCUGUGUUUCCAAAUUGUACUUUUAAAUAAAAACAUAUCUCAUACUUUUAUCCUUGAAUGCAUUUCCUUGCAA
Molecule: long non-coding RNA, 435 nt
Organism: Salvia splendens (bonfire salvia)
Lineage: Eukaryota; Viridiplantae; Streptophyta; Magnoliopsida; Lamiales; Lamiaceae
Exons: 2
Source: RefSeq, a predicted model, not a curated record